Molecule: transfer RNA, 70 nt
Filed under: Vibrio cholerae
Lineage: Bacteria; Pseudomonadati; Pseudomonadota; Gammaproteobacteria; Vibrionales; Vibrionaceae
Also listed under: 1 other name
Description: tRNA-Met
Rfam family: tRNA
About the family: Transfer RNA (tRNA) molecules are approximately 80 nucleotides in length. Their secondary structure includes four short double-helical elements and three loops (D, anti-codon, and T loops).
Source: RNAcentral
UGGAGCAGCUUGGUAGCUCGUCGGGCUCAUAACCCGAAGGUCGUUGGUUCAAAUCCAGCUCCCGCAACCA